ACUCAACAGAAGAUUUCUCUAUACCCGUUUAAAUUACCUCGGGUUCUCGCUCAUAGGAAGGAAUGAUGAUUCUUGAUGCUUAAUCACAUGGACCAGAUAAAGAUGUUUUCAAUUUUGCACGUUUCUUCACCAGAAUCUGAAGCGGUCCGCUUAACAUUCCUACUGGAACUCAACAAAAGGUUUUUCUAUACCCAUUUAAGUUACCUCGAAUUCUCGUUCAUAGGAAGGAAUGGUUGUUCUUGAUGCUUAGUCACAUUGGCUAGGAUGCAGAUGCUUUCAAUUUUGUAUGUUCCUUCAUGAAAAUCUGAGGCGGUCCGCUUAACAUUGUAACUGGAACUCAACAGAAGAUUUCUCUAUACCCAUUUGAAUUACCUCAAGUUCUCGUUCAUAGGAAGGAAUGAUGAUUCUUGAUGUUUAAUCGCUUUGGCCAGAUGAUGCUUUCAAGUUUGUAGGUUCCUUCGUCAAAAUCAGAGGCGGUCUGCUUAACAUUCUAACUGGAACCCAAUAGAAGGUUUCUCUAUAUCCAUUUAAGUUACCUCGAGUUCUCGUUCAUAGGAAGAAAUGAUUGUUCUUAAUGCUUAGUCACGUUGACUAGAUACAGAUGCUUUCAAUUUUGUAUGUUCCUUAAUGAAGAUCUAUCUGAGGCGGUCCGCUUAACAUUCCUACUGGAACUCAACAAAAGGUUUUUCUAUACCCAUUUAAGUUACCUCGAGUUCUCGUUCAUAGGAAGGAAUGGUUGUUCUUAAUGCUUAGUCACAUUGGCUAGAUGCAGAUGCUUUCAAUUUUGUAUGUUCCUUCAUGAAAAUCUGAGGCGGUCCGCUUAACAUUGUAACUGGAACUCAACAGAAGAUUUCUCUAUACCCAUUUGAAUUACCUCAAGUUCUCGUUCAUAGGAAGGAAUGAUGAUUCUUGAUGUUUAAUCGCUUUGGCCAGAUGAUGCUUUCAAGUUUGUAGGUUCCUUCGUCAAAAUCAGAGGCGGUCUGCUUAACAUUCUAACUGGAACCCAAUAGAAGGUUUCUCUAUAUCCAUUUAAGUCACCUCGAGUUCUCGUUCAUAGGAAGAAAUGAUUGUUCUUAAUGCUUAGUCACGUUGACUAGAUACAGAUGCUUUCAAUUUUGUAUGUUCCUUAAUGAAGAUCUAUCUGAGGCGGUCCGCUUAACAUUCCUACUGGAACUCAACAAAAGGUUUUUCUAUACCCAUUUAAGUUACCUCGAGUUCUCGUUCAUAGGAAGGAAUGGUUGUUCUUAAUGCUUAGUCACAUUGGCUAGAUGCAGAUGCUUUCAAUUUUGUAUGUUCCUUCAUGAAAAUCUGAGGCGGUCCGCUUAACAUUGUAACUGGAACUCAACAGAAGGUUUCUCUAUACCCACUUAAGUUACCUCGAGUUCUCGUUCAUAGGAAGGAAUGAUGAUUCUUGAUGCUUAAUCACAUGUACCAGAUAAAGAUGUUUUCAAUUUUGCACGUUUCUUCACCAGAAUCUGAAGCGGUCCGCUAACCUUCCGACUGGAACUCAACAGAAGGUUUCUCUAUACCCAUUUAAAUUACCUCGAGUUCUCGCUCAUGGGAAGGAAUGAUUGUUCUUGAUGCUUAGUCACACACACAGAUGAAAAUGUUUUCAAUUUUGCAUGUUUCUUCACCAAAAACUGAAGCGGCCCUUUUAACAUCCGAACUGGAACUCGACACAAGGUUUCUCUAUAUCCAUUUAAAUUACCUUCAAUUCCCGCUCGUUGUAAGGAAUGAUCACUUUUGAUGUUUAGUUAUAUGGACCAGACAGAGAUGUUUUCAAUUUUGCGAAGAAUUCUCAAUCAAAAUCUGAACCGACCCGUUUAGCACCCUAACAAAAAUAAUUAUAAGAAAUAGGAAAUAUAUAUGUAUCUUAACUUGUCUUCACGAGUUCUUUUAGAUAAUUCCCAUCAUGAAAGUUCAGUAAAAUGCAACGCAAUAUUAUUUUCCACUUCGGAGACUAGGGGUUGGCUCGAUAGUUCGUCAAUGUCACAAAUGGUACUGUUGAUAAUGUGGAAUCGAACUGGAACCCAACAAAAGGUUGUUCUGUAUCCAUUUUAAUUACCUGGAGUAGUCGCUUAAGUAGACCGAACGAUGAUUCUUGAUGUUUUCAAUUUUGCAUUAGUUUCUUCCCCAAAAAUUGAAGUGGUCCGACUAACAUCCUAAUAAAAAUAGUUUUAGGAAAUAGCAAAUACAUAUACAUCUCAAACUUGUCUUCAUAAGUUUUGUUUGGUAGUUCCCCAUAUGCCGUCCGAUAAAUAGCAAGGCAAUACUUUCUUCCAGACUGGAGACUUGAGGAUUGAUUUUAAGAGUCACAAAUGGAAGAGUAAUGUCAUCCAGUACAACCACUUAAUUUGAAUUGUCGUAAAAGAAGUAAACUGGAACCCAACAAAAGGUUGUUCUAUAUCCAUUUUAAUUACCUGAAGGUUUGGGUCAGUGGUAGGAACGAUGAUUCUAGAUGUUUAAUCGUAUUGACCAGAUAAAGAUGAUUUCAAUUUUGUACAAGAUCUGUGGCCCGCCUAACAUUCUAACUGGAACUCAACAAAAGGUUGCUGUAUCCAUAUUUCAAUUACCUGGAGUUCUCGCACAUUGGAAGAAAUGAGGAUUCUUGACGUAUACAUGUCGAAUUCUUCAAUUUGAUGAUUUUUAGUUACAUUGGCCAGAUAAAGAAAACAAUUUUGAAUCAAACCAAAAUUUGAAGUGACCCGUUUAACAUCCUAAUAAAAAUAGUGUUAGGAAAUAACAAAUAUGCAUGUAUUUAUACUUUUCUUCUGGUUUGGUAGUUUUCAUGUCCAAUAAAUUGCGACGCAAUAUUUUCGCUCACUUCACCGGUACAAAAUAAUAUUAACAAAAAUUGCACAUGAAAAAGUUCAUCCUUUUAUAUUACUUCACUUAUUUACUUUUUCAACUUUUAACUUGCACGAUUCACUCAAGAAAUUGGGGAAUAUAUUACACCUUAGUCAAAUUCACAAUUAAUUGGAAGUAAAAAACUGAAUUCGGUCUUCAUGUGUGGGUUGUCUUCUGGUGAAUACAAAUGUAAGCAUGUGGAUGGAACUAAAACUUAACAGAAGUUGUUCUAUAUGGAUUCAGUUACCUGCAAGUUGGUCUCAACAAACUUCGCUUAUUUAAAAUCUUCAAAGAUUUUUUUCAACAAAAAUGAAUGAAAUCUUGUAGUGUAGUUAUUUCUGUUCAAAGACACUAUGCAUCCUAAUAAGAUAAUGAUGAAAAUCAAAUA
Molecule: long non-coding RNA, 3235 nt
Organism: Aethina tumida (small hive beetle)
Lineage: Eukaryota; Metazoa; Arthropoda; Insecta; Coleoptera; Nitidulidae
Exons: 3
Source: RefSeq, a predicted model, not a curated record